Molecule: ribosomal RNA, 529 nt
Filed under: uncultured bacterium
Lineage: Bacteria
Description: partial 16S ribosomal RNA
Rfam family: Bacterial small subunit ribosomal RNA
Source: RNAcentral
UGGGGAAUUUUGGACAAUGGGCGAAAGCCUGAUCCAGCAAUGCCGCGUGUGUGAAGAAGGCCUUCGGGUUGUAAAGCACUUUUGUCCGGAAAGAAAUCCUUGGCUCUAAUACAGUCGGGGGAUGACGGUACCGGAAGAAUAAGCACCGGCUAACUACGUGCCAGCAGCCGCGGUAAUACGUAGGGUGCAAGCGUUAAUCGGAAUUACUGGGCGUAAAGCGUGCGCAGGCGGUUUGCUAAGACCGAUGUGAAAUCCCCGGGCUCAACCUGGGAACUGCAUUGGUGACUGGCAGGCUAGAGUAUGGCAGAGGGGGGUAGAAUUCCACGUGUAGCAGUGAAAUGCGUAGAGAUGUGGAGGAAUACCGAUGGCGAAGGCAGCCCCCUGGGCCAAUACUGACGCUCAUGCACGAAAGCGUGGGGGAGCAAAACAGGAUUAGAUACCCCUGGUAGUCCACGCCCUAAACGAUGUCAACUAGUUGUUGGGGAUUCAUUUCCUUAGUAACGUAGCUAACGCGUGAAGUUGACCGCCU